This 1393-nucleotide ribosomal RNA is filed under the name uncultured bacterium. RNAcentral's name for it is "16S ribosomal RNA". It matches the Rfam family "Bacterial small subunit ribosomal RNA". The record is from RNAcentral.
ACGCUGGCGGCACGCCUAACACAUGCAAGUCGAACGAAGUAGCAAUACUUAGUGGCAGACGGGUGAGUAACAUGUAGGUAUCUGCCCUUUGGCCUGGAAUAACACGAGGAAACUUGUGCUAAUACUGGAUAAGUCUUCACGGAGAAAGCUUUAUGCACCAUUGGAUGAGCCUGCACUUGAUUAGUUUGUUGGUGGGGUAAUGGCCUACCAAGACUUUGAUCAAUAGCUGAUUUGAGAGGAUGAUCAGCCACAUUGGGACUGAGACACGGCCCAAACUCCUACGGGAGGCAGCAGUGGGGAAUCUUGCACAAUGGAGGAAACUCUGAUGCAGCGAUGCCGCGUGAGUGAAGAAGGCCUUUGGGUUGUAAAGCUCUUUCGUCGGGGAAGAAAAUGACUGUACCCGAAUAAGAAGGUCCGGCUAACUUCGUGCCAGCAGCCGCGGUAAUACGAAGGGACCUAGCGUAGUUCGGAAUUACUGGGCUUAAAGAGUUCGUAGGUGGUUGAAAAAGUUGGUGGUGAAAUCCCAGAGCUUAACUCUGGAACUGCCAUCAAAACUUUUCAGCUAGAGUUUGAUAGAGGAAAGCAGAAUUUCUAGUGUAGAGGUGAAAUUCGUAGAUAUUAGAAAGAAUACCAAAUGCGAAGGCAGCUUUCUGGAUCAUUACUGACACUGAGGAACGAAAGCAUGGGUAGCGAAGAGGAUUAGAUACCCUCGUAGUCCAUGCCGUAAACGAUGUGUGUUAGACGUUGGAAAUUUAUUUUCAGUGUCGCAGCGAAAGCAAUAAACACACCGCCUGGGGAGUACGACCGCAAGGUUAAAACUCAAAUGAAUUGACGGGGACCCGCACAAGUAGUGGAGCAUGUGGUUUAAUUCGAAGAUACGCGCAGAACCUUACCAACACUUGACAUGUUCGUCGCGACUUUAAGAGAUUAAAGUUUUCGGUUCGGCCGGACGAAACACAGGUGCUGCAUGGCUGUCGUCAGCUCGUGUCGUGAGAUGUUGGGUUAAGUCCCGCAACGAGCGCAACCCUCACUUUUAGUUGCCAUCAUUAAGUUGGGCACUCUGAAAGAACUGCCAGUGAUAAGCUGGAGGAAGGUGGGGAUGACGUCAAGUCCUCAUGGCCCUUACGUGUUGGGCUACACACGUGCUACAAUGAUAUUUACAACAGGAAGCAAAACGGCGACGUUAAGCAAAUCCUCAAAAAAUAUCUCAGUUCGGAUUGCACUCUGCAACUCGAGUGCAUGAAGCUGGAAUUACUAGUAAUCGUGGAUCAGCGUGCCACGGUGAAUGCGUUCCCGGGUCUUGUACACACCGCCCGUCACACCAUGGGAGUUGGUUCUACCUUAAGGCAAGGUUUAAAAUCCUUGACCACGGUAUAGUCAGCGACUGGGGUGA